CGAUAGCAGAGCAAAUCAUCAGAUCACUAAAACUUAUCAUGGGACUGGAUGGGACCACUCAAGCCACCGAGCCUCAACCCAUCCAUUGCAGCAGAUCUCAAAAGAGUGAGCUAUUCUGCUGGCUUCCCAUCUACCCUUCUCAUGAAGUUUCCAGCCCCUGCAGCCUGUCCCCCGCCUGUCCUCUGCCUCCUUGCUCCAUGGAUCCUGCUCCCUCUAAAGCCACUCCUGUAAGCACACUCCCCUGCUUCUCUGCCAGAUUAAACUUGAUCUCUCUGCA
RNAcentral lists this small RNA (277 nucleotides) under Pan troglodytes (chimpanzee). RNAcentral describes it as "processed transcript". Lineage: Eukaryota; Metazoa; Chordata; Mammalia; Primates; Hominidae. The record is from RNAcentral.